AGGGAUGUGGCUCAGUGGUAGAGCACUUGCCUACCAUGUGUGAGGCCCUGGGUUGGAUCCCCAGCACCACAA
Molecule: transfer RNA, 72 nt
Filed under: Marmota marmota marmota (Alpine marmot)
Lineage: Eukaryota; Metazoa; Chordata; Mammalia; Rodentia; Sciuridae
Also listed under: 3 other names
Rfam family: tRNA
About the family: Transfer RNA (tRNA) molecules are approximately 80 nucleotides in length.
Source: Rfam by way of RNAcentral